Molecule: long non-coding RNA, 289 nt
Organism: Eurytemora carolleeae
Lineage: Eukaryota; Metazoa; Arthropoda; Copepoda; Calanoida; Temoridae
Exons: 3
Source: RefSeq, a predicted model, not a curated record
AGAUUAUUUUUGGCUUUCACAAUGACAUCGUAUUCAUCAGAUAGCUCGGAUGAUGAUGGCUCAUUUUUAGGCGUUGAGCACGUUACAAGGACUAGGAAACGCCCUUUAUACAAGAUUCGUAAGAGAAGAAACGGACAAACUAGAAACUCAUUUUCAGCUGGAGACAAGGAUUUAAGAGCGCCUGGUUUAGCGGAUUCAUUUAAUCAGAAGCCUAGUGGUCAAACUAUGUCAGGUUAGUUCAUCAUUAUUUUUAUAUUUAUUUGUGUAUACUGGGAACUAGAAAACUGAA